CGGGGAAUCUUGGACAAUGGGCGCAAGCCUGAUCCAGCCAUGCCGCGUGAGUGAAGAAGGUCUUCGGAUUGUAAAGCUCUUUUACCAGGGACGAUAAUGACGGUACCUGGAGAAUAAGCCCCGGCAAACUUCGUGCCAGCAGCCGCGGUAAUACGAAGGGGGCUAGCGUUGUUCGGAAUUACUGGGCGUAAAGCGCACGUAGGCGGGUUAUUAAGUCAGGGGUGAAAUCCCGGAGCUCAACUCCGGAACUGCCUUUGAAACUCCCAGUCUUGAGGUCGAGAGAGGUGAGUGGAAUUCCGAGUGUAGAGGUGAAAUUCGUAGAUAUUCGGAGGAACACCAGUGGCGAAGGCAAUCCCCUGGGCCUGCACUGACGCUCAUGCACGAAAGCGUGGGGAGCAAA
This 400-nucleotide ribosomal RNA is filed under the name uncultured bacterium. RNAcentral describes it as "bacterial SSU rRNA". It matches the Rfam family "Bacterial small subunit ribosomal RNA", at positions 355 to 772 of the family's 1533-position model. The record is from RNAcentral.